RNAcentral lists this transfer RNA (74 nucleotides) under Emticicia sp. BO119. RNAcentral describes it as "tRNA-Glu". It matches the Rfam family "tRNA". From Rfam's summary of the family: Transfer RNA (tRNA) molecules are approximately 80 nucleotides in length. Their secondary structure includes four short double-helical elements and three loops (D, anti-codon, and T loops). Further hydrogen bonds mediate the characteristic L-shaped molecular structure. tRNAs have two regions of fundamental functional importance: the anti-codon, which is responsible for specific mRNA codon recognition, and the 3' end, to which the tRNAs corresponding amino acid is attached (by aminoacyl-tRNA synthetases). tRNAs cope with the degeneracy of the genetic code in two manners: having more than one tRNA (with a specific anti-codon) for a particular amino acid; and 'wobble' base-pairing, i.e. permitting non-standard base-pairing at the 3rd anti-codon position. Lineage: Bacteria; Pseudomonadati; Bacteroidota; Cytophagia; Cytophagales; Leadbetterellaceae. The record is from RNAcentral.
GCUCGGUUAGGCAAAUUGGCUAAGCCGCCACUCUUUCACGGUGGAAAUUACGGGUUCGACCCCCGUACCAAGUA